GUGCGUCCUGCCAACACCCUGGGCCCCAGGUCCCAUCCCUGCUGUCAGUGCCUAUCCGGGGCCAUAUGCUCCCCCAGGCCCCCCAAAGGAAGGGCUGGGCCAGAUAGGUUGACGCAGCUCCCACCCGCAGAACUUGGCGAGCUACGACGUCUGCAGCAUCCUCCUGGGCACCUCGACGCUGCUGGUGUGGGUGGGCGUGAUCCGCUACCUGACCUUCUUCCACAACUACAAUAUCCUCAUCGCCACACUGCGGGUGGCUCUGCCCAGCGUCAUGCGCUUCUGCUGCUGCGUGGCUGUCAUCUACCUGGGCUACUGCUUCUGUGGCUGGAUCGUGCUGGGGCCCUAUCAUGUGAAGUUCCGCUCGCUCUCCAUGGUGUCUGAGUGCCUGUUCUCGCUCAUCAACGGGGACGACAUGUUCGUGACGUUCGCCGCCAUGCAGGCGCAGCAGGGCCGCAGCAGCCUGGUGUGGC
This 470-nucleotide small RNA is filed under the name Pan troglodytes (chimpanzee). RNAcentral's name for it is "retained intron". Lineage: Eukaryota; Metazoa; Chordata; Mammalia; Primates; Hominidae. The record is from RNAcentral.